GACGUAGGGCGCGAGCGUUGUCCGGAUUUAUUGGGCGUAAAGAGCUCGUAGGCGGCUUGUCGCGUCGUCCGUGAAAACUUGGGGCUCAACCCCAAGCUUGCGGUCGAUACGGGCAGGCUAGAGUUCGGUAGGGGGGACUGGAAUUCCUGGUGUAGCGGUGAAAUGCGCAGAUAUCUGGAGGAACACCGGUGGCGAAGGCGGCAUCCUGGACCGGCAUUGACGCUGAGGCGCGAAAGCGUGGGGAGCAAACAGG
Molecule: ribosomal RNA, 253 nt
Filed under: uncultured bacterium
Lineage: Bacteria
Description: partial 16S ribosomal RNA
Rfam family: Bacterial small subunit ribosomal RNA
Source: RNAcentral